RNAcentral lists this unclassified non-coding RNA (362 nucleotides) under soil metagenome. RNAcentral describes it as "partial contains 5.8S ribosomal RNA, internal transcribed spacer 2, and large subunit ribosomal RNA". The stretch from base 1 to 120 matches the Rfam family "5.8S ribosomal RNA", at positions 35 to 154 of the family's 154-position model. The record is from RNAcentral.
GAUGAAGAACGUAGCGAAAUGCGAAAAGUAAUGUGAAUUGCAGAAUUCAGUGAAUCAUCGAAUCUUUGAACGCACAUUGCGCCCGCCAGUAUUCUGGCGGGCAUGCCUGUUCGAGCGUCAUUUCAACCCUCAAGCUCUGUCUUGCGCUUGGUGUUGGGGAUCGGCCCUGCCCGCCAGCCCGGGCGGGCCGCCCCCGAAAUGAAUCGGCGGUCUCGUCGCAGCCUCCUCUGCGUAGUAAUUCAGUUAUCCUCGCACUUGGAGCGCGGCGCGGCCACUGCCCGUAAAACGCCCAACUUCUCAAGAGUUGACCUCGAAUCAGGUAGGAAUACCCGCUGAACUUAAGCAUAUCAAUAAGCGGAGGA